AGGGUUUGAUCCUGGCUCAGAUUGAACGCUGGCGGCAUGCUUUACACAUGCAAGUCGAACGGUAACAGGCCGCAAGGUGCUGACGAGUGGCGAACGGGUGAGUAAUGUAUCGGAACGUGCCCAGUCGUGGGGGAUAACGCAGCGAAAGCUGCGCUAAUACCGCAUACGAUCUAUGGAUGAAAGCGGGGGACCGUAAGGCCUCGCGCGAUUGGAGCGGCCGAUAUCAGAUUAGGUAGUUGGUGGGGUAAAGGCUCACCAAGCCAACGAUCUGUAGCUGGUCUGAGAGGACGACCAGCCACACUGGGACUGAGACACGGCCCAGACUCCUACGGGAGGCAGCAGUGGGGAAUUUUGGACAAUGGGCGCAAGCCUGAUCCAGCAAUGCCGCGUGCAGGAAGAAGGCCUUCGGGUUGUAAACUGCUUUUGUACGGAACGAAACGGUCCUGGUUAAUACCUGGGGCUAAUGACGGUACCGUAAGAAUAAGCACCGGCUAACUACGUGCCAGCAGCCGCGG
Molecule: ribosomal RNA, 515 nt
Filed under: uncultured bacterium
Lineage: Bacteria
Description: bacterial SSU rRNA
Rfam family: Bacterial small subunit ribosomal RNA
Source: RNAcentral